This 1926-nucleotide long non-coding RNA is filed under the name Nicotiana tabacum (common tobacco). Its description in RNAcentral is "long non-coding RNA (NTAB_LNC000707)". The record is from RNAcentral. Lineage: Eukaryota; Viridiplantae; Streptophyta; Magnoliopsida; Solanales; Solanaceae.
UGUCAGUUGUAGAUUUCAAUGAGAAGACUGACAGUGAAAUUCCAUGCAAUACCAACAAUGAUGUUGCCGACUAUGUAUCAGUUGAGGCAAACCUUGAAGAACCGGUAGUUGAAGAAAAACCUGAAGAAACAACGGUUGAGAAGAAACCUGAAGAACCAUCAAUUGAGGAGAAACGUGAAACACCAGCAUUUGAGAAGAAACCUGAAGAACCAAUAAUUGAGGAGAAACCUGAAGAACAAACAAUUGAAGAGGAGAAACAUGAAAGGAUAACUCUCCUGGAAAAGGUGAGGAUCAAGCAUUGUCACAAAGUUUAUCCAUCUUGUUAGUCGUGUAUACGAUACAAUUUACAUAUGCUUACCUACUGAAAGACUAAGUAAGACUUUAAAGUUCUUCUUGCAGAGUAUUCCAGUUGUAGUCCCGAACGACAAAACUGAAAGUAAAACUCCAAGCAUUACAAACAAUAAUGCUGCUCACUUUUCAGAAGUUGAGGAAAACCCUGAAGAACCUGCAGUAAAAGAAAAAACUGAAAAACCAGUUCUUGAAGAGAAACCUGAAGAACCAACAGUUGAAGAGAAAUCUGAAGAACCAGUUGAGGAGAAACCUGAAGAACCAACAGCUGAAGAGAAACCUGAAGAACCAGCAACUAAAGAAAAACAAGUGCUAGUAGGGGAGGAAACAGCUGAAGAACUAGCGCUUGAAGAGAAACCUGAAGAACUAACGAUUGAACAGACAGAUGAAGAACUAGUUGUUGAAGAUAAAACUGAAAAACCACCAAAUAAAGAGGAGAGACCUGAAACGGUAACUCUCCUUUAGCAGUGUCACAGAGUUUAUCCAUCCUAUUAGUUCUAUAUGUGCAACGAAUUCAUAUCUGUUUAUCUAUUGAAAUACUAAGUGAAAAUUCAAAUUUUCUUGCAGAAUUUGCCCAUUGCAGACUCAAAGGACCAGACUGACAAUGCAAUUCCAUGCGAUACCAACAAUGAUAUUGCUGACUAUGCAACAGUUGAGGAAAAACCUGAAGAAACAGUAGUUGAAGAAAAACAUGAAGAACCUGCAAUUGAAAAGAAAUUUGAAGAAUCAACAGUUAUGGAGAAACCUGAAGAACCAGCAGUGGAAGAAAAACCUGAAGAACCAACAGUUAAAGAGGAACCUGAAAAAUCAGUGAUGGAAGAGAAACCUGAAGAACCAAUUGUUGAGGAGAAACUUGAAGAACCAACUGUUGAAGAGAAACCUGAAAAAUCACUGAUUGAAGAAACACCUGAAGAACCAAUAUGGGAAGAAACACCUAAAGAACUAGCAUUUGAAGAGAAACCAGAAGAACCAGCAGUUGAAGAGGAGAAACCUGAAAAGGUAACUCUUUUGGAAGAGGUGAGUAUCAAGCAUUAGCACAUAGUUUAUCCAUCAUGUUAUUUCUGUAUGUGCAUCGAUUCACAUCUGCUUAUCUAUUGAAAGUCUAAAUGAGACUUUAAAUUCUUCUUGCAGAAUAUACCAGCUGUAGAUUUCAACGACAAGACUGACCGUGAAAUUCCAUGCGAUACCAACAAUGAUAUUGCUGACUAUGCAACAGUUGAGGAAAAACCUGAAGAACCGGUAGUUGAAGAAAAACAUGAAGAACCUGCAAUUGAAAAGAAAUUUGAAGAAUCAACGGUUAUGGAGAAACCUGAAAAACCAGUGGUUAAGGUACAACCUGAAGAACCAGCAGUGGAAGAAAAAGUUGAAGAACCAACAGUUAAUGAGGAACCUGAAAAAUCAGCGAUGGAAGAGAACCCUGAAGAAUCAAUUGUUGAGGAGAAACUUGAAGAACCAACUGUUGAAGAGAAACCUGAAAAAUCACUGAUUGAAGAAACACCUGAAGAACCAAUAUGGAAAGAAACACCUAAAGAACUAGCAUUUGAAGAGCAACCAGAAGAACCAGCAGUUGAAGAGGAG